GAUGAACGCUGGCGGCGUGCUUAACACAUGCCAGUCGAACGAGAAGUGACGACGGAAACCUUCGGGCGGAAGGCUUUAUUUCUAGUGGCGGACGGGUGAGUAACGCGUGGGUAACCUGCCUCAUACAGGGGGAUAACAGUUGGAAACGACUGUUAAUACCGCAUAAGACCACAGCACGGCAUGGUGCGGGGGUAAGAACUCCGGUGGUAUGAGAUGGACCCGCGGUCGAUUAGCCAGUUGGCUGGGUAACGGCCCACCAAAGCGACGAUCGCUAGCCGAUCUGAGAGCAUGACCGGCCACAUUGGGACUGAGACACGGCCCAAACUCCUACGGGAGACAGCAGUGGGGAAUAUUGCACAAUGGGGGAAACCCUGAUGCAGCGACGCCGCGUGAGUGAAGAAGUAUUUCGGUAUGUAAAGCUCUAUCAGCAGGGAAGAAAAUGACGGUACCUGAGUAAGAAGCCCCGGCUAACUACGUG
RNAcentral lists this ribosomal RNA (478 nucleotides) under uncultured bacterium. RNAcentral describes it as "partial 16S ribosomal RNA". It matches the Rfam family "Bacterial small subunit ribosomal RNA", at positions 28 to 507 of the family's 1533-position model. The record is from RNAcentral.